ACACGUACCAUCGUGCAGCUGAAACACAAACAUCUGCCGUUCACUUGUGUGAACCUCUGUGAUGGCAUCGUUGCAGGAUGUGCCCCGUGCCCACCAGAGGGAGUAUGAGAAACACGUGGAGAGCGUUGACAGUCCAAAGAUAACUGCCCAGGAAUGAGAGAAGCCUUCAGAUGCUGCUAUGAAUUACAGGCAAAAAUGAGAUUUCUUAUUUGGAAUUGAUGAUGAGAGAUGACCAGUUAUGAGUCAAUUCUAUCAGAAACUUGAGUGUCACAGGAAACAAAGGAGGAACAGACCACCCCUCACAGUAACCUAAAAUGAUUAAGCUGAAAUACAUAACUGAGCUCGAAUCUGCUGUACGUGCACUUCUCCAGCAGCGAGCCGUGUCGGUACUGAAGCGAAGGCAAGAUGAGCUGGAAACGGAAUCUACUUAUAUGCAGCGUCUGACAACUGGGAAUGGCAAACCAAGUAAUGAUGGACUGGAGAGUGAUGAAA
Long non-coding RNA from Gallus gallus (chicken), 492 nucleotides. RefSeq lists it as uncharacterized. NCBI's taxonomy places the organism in Eukaryota, Metazoa, Chordata, Aves, Galliformes, Phasianidae. The transcript has 5 exons. The record is from RefSeq and is a predicted model, not a curated record.